UAUUCUGCCCCAUGGGGAAGGAUGAGAAGCUUCGACCAAGGUUCGACUCGAGCGAAGCGAGAGAACGUUGCCGCAGGCAAUGGCCCGAAGGCGAGGCGCUUUAGCGCCGAGUAAUCCUUCCCCCACCACUU
This is a non-coding RNA of Klebsiella pneumoniae IS46, 131 nucleotides long. The record is from Rfam. Lineage: Bacteria; Pseudomonadati; Pseudomonadota; Gammaproteobacteria; Enterobacterales; Enterobacteriaceae.